Molecule: long non-coding RNA, 625 nt
Organism: Pongo pygmaeus (Bornean orangutan)
Lineage: Eukaryota; Metazoa; Chordata; Mammalia; Primates; Hominidae
Exons: 4
Source: RefSeq, a predicted model, not a curated record
AUAAGGUCUUGCUCUGGAGUGCAGUGGUGCGAACAUGGUAGCCUCAACCUCCUGGAUUCAGGUGAUCGUCCCACCUCAGCCUCCCAAGUAGCUGGGACUACAGGCUAACAAAUCUUCAAUGAUAAAGAUGCAUGCAUAUGAAUGGAGGCAGAGUUCAAUCGAAGUACUUGGGGAAGAUGAGGAAAGGACUUGGGGAUUAAGGAAGGUUUCCUGGAACUGAUAUUCAAGCUGCAAUUCCAAGGACAGCAGAAGUUGAGACGACACAGUGAGGGGGAUUAUGCAAGAAAUGGAUAAGGACAUUUCCAGGGGUCCUGAGGUGCGACACAUUGCAGUAAAGGUGCUCAAGUGAACAUGGCAGUCAGCACUUGGUCCUUUCUUGUUCCUGGCAAGAUGUCAUCUGCUGUCUGAUGGGAAGCCCACCACUGCUUGGCCCCUCUACAAAAAAUGCUUGCCACUUUCACCCCAUACCUUUUAUAGUACAAAGAGUCAGAGUUUAUAGUACAAUUCACAAAGAGUCAGAGUUUUAACUGUUUCUUUACAUUCUUAUAUUUGGAAGGAAUCUCUCCUUAAAUGCUGCUUUCAUAGAAAAGAAAAAGAAAAGGAAACAGGCACCAGGUUACAAGAG